This is a non-coding RNA of Danio rerio (zebrafish), 1044 nucleotides long. The record is from the annotation of a RefSeq genome assembly. Lineage: Eukaryota; Metazoa; Chordata; Actinopteri; Cypriniformes; Danionidae.
CACUUCAUCACUGACACACACAACAAUCUUCAUCAUCAUGACCUUCAUCAUCAUCUUCAUCGGGACUCUCACAGUGUUUGCUCGAGAGUGUGGAGGACAGAUCAGCGUCACUCAGAGUCCCUCAAUGACAGCAGAACCAGACAAACCUGUCACCAUCACCUGCAGAACCAGUAGAGAUGUGCAGAGAUGGAGUGAUGGAGAUGAAGGUUUAGCCUGGUAUUUGCAGAAACCUGGAGAAGCUCCUAAACUCCUGAUUCGUUAUGUGAAAAAGCUUCUGUCAGGAACUGCAUCUAGAUUCAGUGGCAGUGGAUCUAACAGUGAUUUCACUCUGAGCAUCAGUGGAGUCCAGACUGAAGAUGCUGGACAUUAUUACUGUCAGAGUUUACACUGCAGAACAGAUUCGAACAAUAACUGUGUGGGUGAUGUUGUGUUCACACAGUGAUGAAAAGUGGAACAAAAACCUCCGUCAGUCAGUCAGUGUCACAGAGACUGAACUGAUCCUGGAGCAACUCAAACACUGAAUACAAAUUAAACACUGAACUCAAUCUGACUUUAAUAUAUAGUUUUAACUUCAUCUGCAUUUUUUAACAGAUAAUUUUAAAAUAUAAAAAAAUAUUUAUUAAAAUUAAAAAAUUCAAUUAAGUAAUUGUUUACAAUAUUUGUUAUCAUCUUUACUGAAUAUUAUUUAAUAAUUCAUAUUUUUAAUCAUGUUUAUAAAGUGCAUGAUGAUGUAUUUUUUCUAAUUAUAGUGUAAAGACCAUAAAGAUGUUGCUUGAAUUGUUUAAUCAUCGUCACAAAUCAUCUGUUAAGAUCAUCUAAUUUAGCUUUAAUUACUGAGGCUAAAACCCCACUGAUGAUGAUGAUGACAGAUGUAUUGUAUAUUGUCUGUCUUCAGCAUCACUGAAUCUGUUCAGUCUGACGGUGAAUCGAUUGACAGUUUUCCUCAAGAGCUGCUGAUGAUCAAAUAAACACACGAUGCCUCAAACAGCACUGCAGUCUCCAGCAGACCAGAGUAAAACAUUCAGAAAGCUGCAGCUCAUGACA